AGGCAGAAGGCAGAUAACAAGAAGCCGCUGGGUGGGCACCAUGGCCGGGAUCACCACCGUCAAGGCGGUGAAGCGCAAGAUCCAGGUUCUGCAGCAGCAAGCGGAUGAUGCCGAGGAGAGGGCUGAGCGCCUCCAGCGGGAAGUUGAGGGAGAAAGGCGGGCCCGGGAACAGGCUGAGGCUGAGGUAGCCUCCUUGAACCGAAGGAUCCAACUGGUUGAAGAGGAGCUGGACCGUGCUCAGGAGCGCCUUGCUACUACCCUGCAAAAGUUGGAGGAAGCAGAAAAAGCUGCUGAUGAGAGUGAGAGAGGUAUGAAGGUUAUUGAAAACCGGCCCUAAAAGAUGAAGAAAAGAUGGAACUCCAGGAAAUCCAACUCAAAGAAGCUAAGCACAUUGCAGAAGAAGAAGAUAGGAAGUAUGAAGAGGUGGCUCGUGAGUUAGUGAUUAUUGAAGGAGACUUGGAACGCACAGAGGAACGAGCUGAGCUGGCAGAGUCCCGUUGCCGAGAGAUGGAUGAGCAGAUCAGACUGAUGGACCAGAACCUGAAGUGUCUGAAUGCUGCUGAAGAAAAGUACUCUCAAAAAGAAGACAAAUAUGAGGAAGAAAUAAAGAUUCUCACUGAUAAACUCAAGGAGGCAGAGACCAGCGCUGAGUUUGCCCAGAGAUCGGUAGCCAAACUGGAAAAGACAAUUGAUGAUUUGGAAGAUAAGCUGAAAUGCACCAAAGAGGAGCACCUCUGUACACAAAGGAUGCUGGACCAGACUCUGCUUGACCUGAAUGAGAUGUAGAGCUCCCCAGUCCCGCCCUGCUGCUGCUCCUCCCUCUGACCCUGACUCCGCCUGAGGCCAGCCAGCCCGAAGCUGACCUUGAAACUCAGGGCUGAUCUUUAACUGGAAGGCUGCUUUCUCCUUUCAACACCCCCUCAACCCCCUACCCCCUUGUCUUUUUCACCAAACUGUCUCUGCUUCUUCCCAGAGAUUCCAGCUGGGCUAGAGGCUGAGCACCUUUGGGAACAGCAUUUAAGGGAAUGUGAGCACAACGCAAAGUGUCUUUAAAAGCAUGUUGUGAUGUACACAUUUUGUAAUUACUUUUUUUUGUUGUUACAGUAACCAUUUGUAAAACAUUCCAAAUAAUUCCAUAGCUCUGAAGCAGCAAUCUAAUUCCCUUCUCACUUUUGGAAGGUAACUUUCCAGCCUAAUCCCUAUUGCCCUCUCCAUAGAGGAGGAAAAGAGGAAUGGGCCUGCCUUACUGAGAGCCAAACAGAGUCCAGGAAAGACUCUACUAUGGCAAACCUCAUUGCUCUGUGCAAAGUACUAGCCAAACCAGAAAGGUGAUUCCAAGAGGAGUUAGCCAAAAAACAAAAACCUUGCUAUUCAGGUUUUGUUUUAUUUUUAGCUUUAAGGUAUCUUUAGACAACUGUAUUCUUAUUUUUUACUUUUUUUCAUCAGAAAUGACCAAAUUAACAUGGUGAGACCUCUGAGACUUUUUGUUUUUCUGGUGCUGGGGAUUGAACCCAGGGCCUCGUGCUUGUUCGGCAAAUGCUCUACCACUGAGCCAUAUUCUUAGCCCUGAGACCAAAUUUUUCUCCCAUCUCUACCCACUUCCCAAGUGUUCACAGAAUGGAUCAUGGGCCUCUUAAUCUUGCGUGACCACUUAAUUGCUCUCCUGCUUGCUUGAGAAAAAAAAAAAAAAAGAAAGAAAGAAAGAAAAUUAUGUUUUGGCCACUGA
Non-coding RNA from Ictidomys tridecemlineatus (thirteen-lined ground squirrel), 1726 nucleotides. NCBI's taxonomy places the organism in Eukaryota, Metazoa, Chordata, Mammalia, Rodentia, Sciuridae. The record is from RefSeq and is a predicted model, not a curated record.